Tupaia belangeri chinensis (Chinese tree shrew) is the source of this 414-nucleotide long non-coding RNA. RefSeq lists it as uncharacterized. The transcript is spliced from 3 exons. Lineage: Eukaryota; Metazoa; Chordata; Mammalia; Scandentia; Tupaiidae. The record is from RefSeq and is a predicted model, not a curated record.
CGCAGCCUCGCGCUGGCCCCCAGUGUGGACGAGCAGGCUAUUCCACAGGAGCCUCCAGGAUGUCAACAACCUGAUGGCUUGUUUCCACAUCGUGAUUUCUCAGCCCUAGCAUCUUUGCAACUAGCUGGCAGCAUUACCGUGCUGGUGGAGAGGGAACGAUUGACCUGGGCAAAGAUUUCAAGAGACCAGAGGUCAUUUACUGCACACUUUCUUAUCUUGUUGGGAGUCACAGAUGCUUCUCCGCUGGAGAAUGCAGGGGAGGCUCUUCUGGCAAGGCCGAGUGUUGAAAGAAGAAACUUACAGGAGCAAGAUGGAGUCUCUGUGGACUGUUCUAGAUGCUGGGAAUACCACUCCAACAACACAGGCAGAUUGGCCUCCCUUCCUGGAACUUGCAUUCCUGUGAGUGGAGCCAAA